CUUUCGGUGACGUCACCCAACUCGCCCCGUGCGCGUGCUCGCUCGCUCAUUAAAGGCGGGAAAUCGCGCAGGAGGUCCUCUCGUGGUGAUCAAUCGAUAAAUAAAAAUAAAACUUUAAUGAACGAUAAUUUGACUAAAGCGUUCGAUAUGCGAUGGAGCGUUGACGUCGGCCCCGUCGUUGCCAGAGCCGGACCAAGCGAAAGUUGCCUCACGAUUUCCUAAUCGAUCGUAUUUCAACUGCGUGUACGAGUAAUUAUUACGUAAAACGUUAAACUUUAAUUUGUUGACUGCCGUCGAGGACAUUGUGAACUGUUCCACCCUCCAGUGGACGUCAAAGCCAAGCCCGACGGACUGCUGCUGCUGCUGUUGCUGCUGCUGUGAAGCUGCUUAUUCAGAAGCUCGCUGGCCACCACAGACGAGAUAGCAGUUCGACCGGACGGCUUCUUCACGUGGUCCUCCCCAUGUCUCUCCUCCGCGGCUCACUGGGCCGUGCCCUCCGCCGCGUGGGGCUCACGGCCUCCCGCCCCCCCCGCCGCUCGGCCCCCACCUCCCGGGCCCCCCCCACCACACCACCGGGGACCUUCCCCCCACCACCACAGCCGGGGACCUUCCCCCCACCACCACCACCACUGCCGGGCUGUGCCGCUGCCGGACUUUGUGGACACCGUUGUUGCCUACCGCAGCAAGAGCAGCGGGCAGCUGCCUGAGGGCGCUGGUCGUCUACAGCCUCUGCUGUGUCGACCUGCUGGUGGACCACAACAAGGAGAUCCUGCGCUGGGCCGAGCGCUUGCUGGGGGCCCGCCUCUUCGCUGGCCUCAUGAAGGCCACGGUGUUACGGCCAGUUCGUGGGUGGCGAGGACCGGCUCGCCAUCCGGCCCACGGUGAGUGCCCACGCCCGGCACGGGGUCGGCUCCAUCCUGGACUACAGCGUGGAGGAGGAUGUCAGCCACGACGAGGCGCAGAGCCAGGA
Non-coding RNA from Petromyzon marinus (sea lamprey), 970 nucleotides. Lineage: Eukaryota; Metazoa; Chordata; Hyperoartia; Petromyzontiformes; Petromyzontidae. The record is from RefSeq and is a predicted model, not a curated record.